CGUUUUUUUCAUUUAAUUUAUGUGAUCGUUGUCUUUCUGAGUUUAAUUAUGCAUAUGUUUUGUUUGUGAUAUUGUUUUGGUGAUUUACCUUGGCACGGUCAUGGACUUCGACUAUAUACAAAAUAACAAAACCUCUCAUUAAUUAUUAUCCCCUCAGUCCCUCCUUCGCAGCCAUUGCCGCCCAUUCCCCUCAGUUCUAAUAACUACUCAACUAAACCCAUCCUCUCUGUCUAAAUCCUCCUAAAAUUUUACCCAGCCCAGAAUCCCAGAUCGAGCUGAUAUCUUCGUCGGCAAGUGAUCGGAGGUUUCUGUCUCUGUUUUUGUUGGGUAUCGCAAGUGAACUGAAUUUCUGGUCUAGUAGCAAGUUAGAAGAGCAUUUCUGUGGAAAGCACUGAUUUUCCGUCGACUUCUCAGAUUUUCCGUUAAUUCUCUGCUUCCUCAAACGAGAAAAGGCUCAAGCCGAUCUUUGUCGCCAUUGCCGACGACACAUCUGAAAUCCCCAAAGUUGCAGAAGUUGGGAAGGUUGGUUGAAAACAAGGGUUGGAGUGAUCUUUGUUUAAUCAAGUAAG
This is a non-coding RNA of Coffea arabica (coffee), 569 nucleotides long. The record is from RefSeq and is a predicted model, not a curated record. Lineage: Eukaryota; Viridiplantae; Streptophyta; Magnoliopsida; Gentianales; Rubiaceae.